GGUCGUAUAGUGUAGUGGUUAGCACGUGGGAUUUUGAUAUCACGUCAAAUCUUCCCGAGUCCCGAGUUCGAGUCUCGGUAUGACCU
Molecule: transfer RNA, 86 nt
Organism: Pseudomassariella vexata
Lineage: Eukaryota; Fungi; Ascomycota; Sordariomycetes; Amphisphaeriales; Pseudomassariaceae
Rfam family: tRNA
About the family: Transfer RNA (tRNA) molecules are approximately 80 nucleotides in length. Their secondary structure includes four short double-helical elements and three loops (D, anti-codon, and T loops). Further hydrogen bonds mediate the characteristic L-shaped molecular structure. tRNAs have two regions of fundamental functional importance: the anti-codon, which is responsible for specific mRNA codon recognition, and the 3' end, to which the tRNAs corresponding amino acid is attached (by aminoacyl-tRNA synthetases). tRNAs cope with the degeneracy of the genetic code in two manners: having more than one tRNA (with a specific anti-codon) for a particular amino acid; and 'wobble' base-pairing, i.e. permitting non-standard base-pairing at the 3rd anti-codon position.
Source: Rfam